AGACAAUAGAUACCCUGGUAGUCCACGCCCUAAACGAUGCAUAUUUGGUGUGGGUCAUUCAGUUGAUCCGUGCCGGAGCUAACGCGUUAAAUAUGCCGCCUGGGGAGUACAGUCGCAAGGCUGAAACUCAAAGGAAUUGACGGGGGCCCGCACAAGCGGUGGAGCAUGUGGUUCAAUUCGACGCAACGCGAAGAACCUUACCUGGGCUCGAACGGCUGGUCAACGGCGGUGGAAACAUCGCUACUCCGCAAGGAGGCCCAGUCGAGGUGCUGCAUGGCUGUCGUCAGCUCGUGUCGUGAGAUGUUGGGUUUAAGUCCCGCAACGAGCGCAACCCUCGUCCUGUGUUGCCAUGGGAGCAAUCCCGGAACUCGCAGGAGACCGCCAGCGAUAAGUUGGAGGAAGGUGGGGAUGACGUCAAGUCCUCAUGGCCUUUAUGUCCAGGGCUACACACGUGCUACAAUGGCCGGUACAAAGCGCUGCUAACCCGCGAGGGGGAGCCAAUCGCAAAAAACCGGUCUCAGUUCGGAUU
This 529-nucleotide ribosomal RNA is filed under the name uncultured bacterium. RNAcentral describes it as "bacterial SSU rRNA". It matches the Rfam family "Bacterial small subunit ribosomal RNA", at positions 774 to 1299 of the family's 1533-position model. The record is from RNAcentral.